AUACGGAGGGAGCGAGCGUUAAUCGGAAUUACUGGGCGUAAAGCGCGCGUAGGCGGCUUUGUAAGUCGGAUGUGAAAGCCCUGGGCUCAACCUGGGAAUUGCAUUCGAUACUGCAGAGCUAGAGUAUGGUAGAGGGAAGUGGAAUUUCCGGUGUAGCGGUGAAAUGCGUAGAUAUCGGAAGGAACACCGGCGGCGAAAGCGGUGCACUGGUCCAAUACUGACGCUGAGGUGCGAAAGCUAGGGUAGCAAACGGGAUUAGAAACCCCAGUAGUCC
Molecule: ribosomal RNA, 274 nt
Filed under: uncultured bacterium
Lineage: Bacteria
Description: partial 16S ribosomal RNA
Rfam family: Bacterial small subunit ribosomal RNA
Source: RNAcentral